AUUGAACGCUGGCGGCAGGCCUAACACAUGCAAGUCGAACGGUAACAGGAAGCAGCUUGCUGCUUCGCUGACGAGUGGCGGACGGGUGAGUAAUGUCUGGGAAGCUGCCUGAUGGAGGGGGAUAACUACUGGAAACGGUAGCUAAUACCGCAUAAUGUCGCAAGACCAAAGAGGGGGACCUUCGGGCCUCUUGCCAUCGGAUGUGCCCAGAUGGGAUUAGCUUGUUGGUGGGGUAACGGCUCACCAAGGCGACGAUCCCUAGCUGGUCUGAGAGGAUGACCAGCCACACUGGGACUGAGACAAGGUCCAGACUCCUACGGGAGGCAGCAGUGGGGAAUAUUGCACAAUGGGCGCAAGCCUGAUGCAGCCAUGCCGCGUGUAUGAAGAAGGCCUUCGGGUUGUAAAGUACUUUCAGCGGGGAGGAAGGGAGUAAAGUUAAUACCUUUGCUCAUUGACGUUACCCGCAGAAGAAGCACCGGCUAACUCCGUG
This 490-nucleotide ribosomal RNA is filed under the name uncultured bacterium. RNAcentral describes it as "partial 16S ribosomal RNA". It matches the Rfam family "Bacterial small subunit ribosomal RNA", at positions 30 to 507 of the family's 1533-position model. The record is from RNAcentral.